This 450-nucleotide ribosomal RNA is filed under the name uncultured organism. RNAcentral's name for it is "partial 16S ribosomal RNA". It matches the Rfam family "Bacterial small subunit ribosomal RNA", at positions 335 to 800 of the family's 1533-position model. The record is from RNAcentral.
ACUCCUGCGGGAGGCAGCAGUGGGGAAUAUUGGACAAUGGGCGCAAGCCUGAUCCAGCCAUGCCGCGUGAGUGAUGAAGGCCCUAGGGUUGUAAAGCUCUUUCACCGGAGAAGAUAAUGACGGUAUCCGGAGAAGAAGCCCCGGCUAACUUCGUGCCAGCAGCCGCGGUAAUACGAAGGGGGCUAGCGUUGUUCGGAAUUACUGGGCGUAAAGCGCACGUAGGCGGAUCGAUCAGUCAGGGGUGAAAUCCCAGGGCUCAACCCUGGAACUGCCUUUGAUACUGUCGAUCUGGAGUAUGGAAGAGGUGAGUGGAAUUCCGAGUGUAGAGGUGAAAUUCGUAGAUAUUCGGAGGAACACCAGUGGCGAAGGCGGCUCACUGGUCCAUUACUGACGCUGAGGUGCGAAAGCGUGGGGAGCAAACAGGAUUAGAAACCCCGAGUAGUCCCAUGA